AUAAAGGUGUUAGUUCGAAGAGGGGGCUCGCAUUUGAUAAAUUAAUUGGUGAAGCUAUAGCUUAUCAAAGCAAUGAUUAGUAGCUAGUUCGAGAGGAUGAUUAGCUAUAUUGGGAUUGAGAUAUGGUUCAGACUCCUAUUAAAAGUAG
This 148-nucleotide ribosomal RNA is filed under the name Olea europaea subsp. europaea. RNAcentral's name for it is "SSU_rRNA_bacteria". It matches the Rfam family "Bacterial small subunit ribosomal RNA", at positions 202 to 347 of the family's 1533-position model. Lineage: Eukaryota; Viridiplantae; Streptophyta; Magnoliopsida; Lamiales; Oleaceae. The record is from RNAcentral.